GUGCUUACUUCUGUAGCACAUAUGCUAAAAUUGGAACAAUACGGAGAUUAGCAUGGCCCCUGCACAAUGACUUACGAAUUGGUGAAGCGUUCCUCCCCUCC
Molecule: small nuclear RNA, 101 nt
Organism: Vulpes vulpes (red fox)
Lineage: Eukaryota; Metazoa; Chordata; Mammalia; Carnivora; Canidae
Source: Ensembl